RNAcentral lists this ribosomal RNA (775 nucleotides) under Triticum aestivum (bread wheat). Its description in RNAcentral is "partial small subunit ribosomal RNA". The record is from RNAcentral. Lineage: Eukaryota; Viridiplantae; Streptophyta; Magnoliopsida; Poales; Poaceae.
GCCACGCGCCGACCAUCGCACGGUCCUCCCUGAUGGUUAAGAGCACACCCCUCGACCCCGGAACCCUAGCACCCCCACUUCCUUUCCCUCGCGCCGCUAUUACCCUCUCCUCCUCUGUCUCGUUCACCCGAGCGCGGUCUCUGAGCGCGUCGCCAUCGAUCCCGCGGCCGUCGACGUCUCUGGUGCACGGGAGCACAUCCAGGAGGUCUGACGUGGUUGUCUUCGUCCGUUCUGCGUACCAGAUCGAGCCGGAGACCACCACAGCACAAGGAUCGACAUCAUCUACGACCUUCGGGCACCGCGACACCAUUGACAGAUUCGUCACCGUCACUGCACCCCAGGCCUCCUCGAGCUCGCCCCUGGAACCGCGACCCCGAGAUCGCUGUGAUCCAGUGAUCGACUACUUCACUGCCGAGGGUCCGUAUCUGUCUACAGAGCUUCCAGAUGAUGGAUUCCAGGAGCCAGACGACGCCUCUGAUGACUACUACUAUCCCAAGGGUGCCUACUACUACGUGAAGACCACCGAUGACUAGGAGUAGUUCGGAGGCUCCCAGGUAGGAGACCUUGCCUUUUCGAUCGAUGUUGUUUUUGUGCUAGCCUUCUUGAGGAAAACUUGUUUAACUUAUGUCUGUACUCAGAUAUUGCUGCUUUCGUUGACUCUUGCGUAUUCGAGCUUAUGUAUUCGAGCCCUCGAGCCCCCUGGUUUGUAAUAUAAAGCUUGUAUUAUUUUAAUUUGUGUCUACAAUUGUGUUGUAAUAUCUACCCGUGAGUCCUU